Molecule: long non-coding RNA, 366 nt
Filed under: Nicotiana benthamiana
Lineage: Eukaryota; Viridiplantae; Streptophyta; Magnoliopsida; Solanales; Solanaceae
Description: long non-coding RNA (NBEN_LNC019160)
Source: RNAcentral
UAAUGGCUAAUAGCCUUAUUACAUCAGGAAAGCAGUAAAAUCCUAACUACUUGGUCCCAUAAAGACCUUGCCCAGAUUUGGUAUCUUUGCCUCCCUCGUACAAUUUCAUCAGCUCGCGCAGUCCCAGCAACAAGUAAGCCCGAGCCAAGUGGCCACCUUUAUUAUCUUCAGCUUCCUGACAGUCGUUGAUCCUUUUCAAAAACUUGCCUUCCAGCUCAUUAGACCCGCUCCAAGUACCCUAAACGGUUGUUUACGCGGACAGCCAUGUCCUUCCAUUCAUUGAUUCCCUUCUAUUGAGCCUCUAGCAUUUCCCGAUGUUCACUUUCACACUCUCGCAUCCGCUUGCGCAACUGAUUAUACUUGACC